RNAcentral lists this ribosomal RNA (302 nucleotides) under uncultured soil bacterium. RNAcentral's name for it is "bacterial SSU rRNA". It matches the Rfam family "Bacterial small subunit ribosomal RNA", at positions 26 to 308 of the family's 1533-position model. The record is from RNAcentral.
AGAAUCAACGCUGGCGGCGUGCCUCAGACAUGCAAGUCGAACGAUUAAAGCUCUCUUCGGAGAGUGUAUAGAGUGGCGCACGGGUGAGUAACACGUAAGUAAUCUACCUUUGAGUGGGGAAUAACGUCCGGAAACGGACGCUAAUACCGCAUAAUGCAGCGGCAUCGCAAGAUGACAGUUGUUAAAGAUCUAUCGCUUGAAGGAGAGUCUGCGACAGUAUUAGCUAGUUAGGUAAGGUAAGUGGUACUUAACCGAAGGACUACGAUUCGUACGUAACCGGUACUAAGGAGGUACCGGUCGGU